CAGAAUCCCGCCUAGACGUAACGAUACCAUAGCGCCGCGGAUCUUCGGUUGGCCCCGGAUAACCGGCUUCGGUCGGUGAGUAGAGCCGUUCGUGACAGGGCUGGGGUGCGGCCGGAUGAUGGUCGCCCCUCUCCUAUCUCGCACCGCAUGUUUGUGGAGAACCUGGUGCUAAAUCACUUGCAGACGACCUGAUUCUGGGUCAGGGUUUCGUACGUAGCAGAGCAGCUCCCUCGNUGCGAUCU
This 242-nucleotide ribosomal RNA is filed under the name Chelidonichthys lucerna (tub gurnard). RNAcentral's name for it is "partial 28S ribosomal RNA". Lineage: Eukaryota; Metazoa; Chordata; Actinopteri; Perciformes; Triglidae. The record is from RNAcentral.